GUGCUCACUUUGGCAGCAUAUAUACUAAAAUUGGAACAAUACAGAGAAGACUAGCAUGGUCCCUGUACAAGGAUGGCAUGCAAAUUCAUGAAGUGAUCUAUAAUUUU
Tupaia belangeri (northern tree shrew) is the source of this 107-nucleotide small nuclear RNA. The record is from Ensembl. Lineage: Eukaryota; Metazoa; Chordata; Mammalia; Scandentia; Tupaiidae.